UCUGUGCUGCUGUGUUUGACAACGACAAGUUGACAAAUCUUUUUAUUUUCCAUGCUUCUUUUUUCUGCGAUUUUGUGAUAAUUCAUUCGUAUUUUGGGAGCAUUAGCGCGCGAUAGUCACCUUGCAGUUUGUGUUUAAGUGAUUUUCACCUACCGACAUAUAAUUUUUGAGCCGUUAACUGGAAAAUUCCACCAUGACUCUGGGAACUUAUAACAGGCAUCAGGCGCAAAAGAAAAAACAAGCUGCGUUGGCGGCGGCCUUUCCACAAGGGAUCCGUUGCCAGAAAUGCUUGGAAUACGGGCACUGGAGUUACGAGUGUAAGGGCAAGCGCAAGAUAUUGGUGCGUCCUUCGAGCACGCAGGUACUAAAGAAGAACCUGAAAUCUCGGGAACAGGGAUCCUGCAGCAAUGGCAGUUGCAAGAUACCAAACAAAAAGAAACGCACCAAUGACUGCGCCGAUUGCUCAGACAACAGUUCUUCCGGUAGCUCUUCAGGAUCAGACUCCUGUAGCUCGGACGACUCGGGGAGCGACAGCAGCAGUGACUCGGAGAGUGACAGCGAGAGCAGCAGCGGGUCCGAAUCCUGCUCAGAUUGUUAAGGAGAUAGUCAGCGCGCUGUACUUCACAACUGGUACUUAUAAAUUGCAUUCGCUUCUCAUCCGUAAAUGUACAUAAUUCAAUCAAGUCAUAUUCAGAAUAUAGAGAAGUUAUAUGAUGUGUGCUCAUUUGUAAAGCAGGCUUUAGUAUACUUGAUGGAUAAAACCUAUUUGAUUUAAAAUGUUAAUCUUAUUUUUCUAACAAAUUUUGAUAAGAAUAGCAUUCAUUCUUAAUAUUUUGUACUAUUAUUGUUAGAAAAGAGGUUUGUAACAGUACCAGUUGUAAGUUCAUCCCAAGUGACAUUGCAUGUAGGUUUAACCAUCACCAGAAGAUUUCAUAAUGCUGGACAUUAAAAAUAAGGACUUAGUAUAAUAUGUGACACUGUUCUUAAGAUAUUUUUAACUUGCAGACAAUGUUUAUAAUCUAUUUUUUUGUGUAUGUAGUGGCACUUUCUCAUUCAGCCUUUGUGUAAUCAAUAGCAGAUUAUAAACGGAACACUGGUUUUCGUAGAUUCGAUUAAAAGUAAUUUAAAAAAGGAAAUUUGAUGUUAGAAAAGAGCUAAAUGGGUUUGGCGCCAUUCUUCCUAAUUAUUUAAUGCUGUGAACUUGUUGAAUGUUUGUAGUUUAAAAUGAUUCUAUAAGAUGCUAAAAGUAAUUAUAUGUGUGUAUGAACGGAUUGGGAGUUUGUAGAGAUUUAUAUCUUUAAUAUUAUUUAGAUAUGUUAGGCUUUAUUUCCACUGACAUGAUUAAAAAUGAAGUGUGAACAAUUAUUUAAUGAAGCCAAAGUUUGCUGAUGUUAAUAUAAUACUCUAUUUAAACUUAAAAUUGACUAACAGACUUAAGUUAGUGGAAAUUUAGUCAUUUUGUUUGUGCUUUGUGAAACUGCUGUGUUAAUAUAGCAUAGAGUUAAAGUUAAUUAUCAAUUACAUAUUUACAUGUCAUAGACGUAAUAUUUUCUAAGACUGUAUAGUAAAAUGUCUCUUCAAUUUCAUAGUCUCAUGAUUUAAAUAGACAAAAUGUAAGAAUUUUGAUAUAAAACAAAAUAUAAUUUAAAUGGGAUUGCA
This 1659-nucleotide unclassified non-coding RNA is filed under the name Helicoverpa zea (corn earworm). Its description in RNAcentral is "zinc finger CCHC domain-containing protein 10, transcript variant X1". The record is from RNAcentral. Lineage: Eukaryota; Metazoa; Arthropoda; Insecta; Lepidoptera; Noctuidae.